CAGAAUGAAAAGUGCUUAACUGCAUUUUUUCUUACACAUGUGUUUUUCUUUUUUUGAAAACUUUGCUUUGGUAGGCCUUCUAUAUGGGGCCUGCCAGAGAUUAAACUCAACCAAAUUUUAUUUAAUGUCAACCGAUUAUUUAAUAGUCA
RNAcentral lists this unclassified non-coding RNA (149 nucleotides) under uncultured Candida. RNAcentral's name for it is "sequence contains ITS1". Lineage: Eukaryota; Fungi; Ascomycota; Saccharomycetes; Saccharomycetales. The record is from RNAcentral.